Molecule: ribosomal RNA, 330 nt
Filed under: uncultured bacterium
Lineage: Bacteria
Description: bacterial SSU rRNA
Rfam family: Bacterial small subunit ribosomal RNA
Source: RNAcentral
CGCGUAGGCGGAUGUUACAGUCAGGCGUGAAAUUCCUGGGCUCAACCUGGGGCUGCGUUUGAUACGUGAUGUCUGGAGUUCGGAAGAGGGUCGUGGAAUUCCCAGUGUAGAGGUGAAAUUCGUAGAUAUUGGGAAGAACACCGGUGGCGAAGGCGGCGACCUGGUCCGAUACUGACGCUGAGGCGCGAAAGCGUGGGGAGCAAACAGGAUUAGAUACCCUGGUAGUCCACGCUGUAAACGAUGUGCGCUGGAUGUUGGGUGACAUAGUCAUUCAGUGUCGUAGCUAACGCGAUAAGCGCACCGCCUGGGGAGUACGGCCGCAAGGUUGAA